GACGAACGCUGGCGGCGUGCUUAACACAUGCAAGUCGAACGGAAAGGCCCUGCUUUUGUGGGGUGCUCGAGUGGCGAACGGGUGAGUAACACGUGAGUAACCUGCCCUUGACUUUGGGAUAACUUCAGGAAACUGGGGCUAAUACCGGAUAGGAGCUCCUGCUGCAUGGUGGGGGUUGGAAAGUUUCGGCGGUUGGGGAUGGACUCGCGGCUUAUCAGCUUGUUGGUGGGGUAGUGGCUUACCAAGGCUUUGACGGGUAGCCGGCCUGAGAGGGUGACCGGCCCCAUGGGGCUUGGGUAGCGGCCAAGGUCGCCAGGGGGGCAAGGGGGGGGGAAUUUUCCCAAAGGGGCGGAAGCCUGAUGGAGCACCGCCCGGGCGGGGAUGACGGCCUUCGGGUUUGAAACGUCUUUCGCCUGUGCCGAAGCGUAGUGGACGUUAAUGGGUAAAGAAGCCCCGCCAAACUAGGU
Molecule: ribosomal RNA, 467 nt
Filed under: uncultured bacterium
Lineage: Bacteria
Description: partial 16S ribosomal RNA
Rfam family: Bacterial small subunit ribosomal RNA
Source: RNAcentral